UCCGGAAUACUAUUGUGUCUGGAUCUGCAACUUUGACGACGCCAAAGUCAUUGAUUGAAUAUGCAUUUGCUCAAAACUAAUAUUUCAACCUGAAUCAAAUAAACACCGCACUAAGACGAGAAAUAAAAAAUAUACCGCACAAAGAUGAAAAAUGAAAACUAACAAAGACAUACAAAAACGAUGAAAUCACAAAAACAAACGAAAGAAAACUAAAAUUACAUGGAAAUCACUCAUUUAACUAAAAAAGAACGAUAAACAAUUGAGGGAGAUGAUUUUGAAUUAAAAUUAACCUUAAAUCACCUAUAUAUAAAUAAGAAGAGGAAAGGUGGUGACGGCGAGGGUUUUUGAUGUUGUUUCUUUUUGGUAUCAUAUCACUCUUCUAUCUUAUUAUGAUAAGUUUUUCAUUCUAUCUUGCAUACCAAAAGUUUUAAGUGUUUUAAAAAUUCUCCCUAAAAAAAUAAAAGUGUUACAGAAAUUCAAAGAUACAAUCAAUUGUUGUUUUUGAACCGUGUCGUUAAAAUAUAUUGUUAUAUUUUUGUAUUAAAAAGGAACAAUUGUAAAUAAUUAAUAAUUAAAUUAAGACUAGUUUAAUAGUACAAAUACACAUCAAUUAGUGGUGCAAAAUUAACAUUUGAGAUGUCGUAUAUGCUAUUAAUUAAUUAAAUAAAGAUAAAACUUUUUAAGAAUGUAUAUUAGUAGUGGUGCGGGUUAUGCCUAUAUGUUAUAUCCAUUGGGUCAGAAGGGUUCCCUAACUACAUGCCUCAACCUCUCCUAUUAUGCCGUGUGUACAUGUCUAUUAAAAUGCUUUGUGGGGUUGCCUUUCUUUUUCAUCACAUUCCUGCUAUGUCAGUUUUGAUGCUUGCUUUUAAAUACCUACAAUACCGUAAAAAGAAACAUUUCUUCGUAGGUCUUAUUCCACUAACAAGCUGCUGAAAAUACAAGUCAAUACAUUAAAUAAGAGGGUAACUAUUCAUUUUAAUCCUAAUCAAAUGCUUAAAGCAUUGUCUUUAUAAUCCUUAAAUAUAUUAUAAUCAUAAAAAGAUAGAUCCAUCUUUUUCCCCUAAAAAAAUCAUUCUUUUUGAAAGUUUGGUCUUCCAAUUAUUAAAUAUUGUCUUUCAAUAAUCAAUUUAAUCUUCCAAUAAAUUUUUACCUAGUUAAUCCGGAUAUAUUAGGAACGUUGUAACGACACUCCUUCACGAAUUUAAAAAGAAAUGAGAAUUGGUCUAAGAGAAAUGUUAACCGCUUAUCUUAACUUAAGAACAGGAGUUAAAAAAAACCAAUAUAGCAUCAUUCUUUUAAAAAGAUUGUACUCAACUAUUUUAAAGUUAAAAAAAAAAAAACUCAACUUUUUAAUUUUGUUAACUAGUAUCUUUAGGUAUUUGUUAACAUCACGUUUAAUCUAAAACCAUAUACAUUAAUGGAAGCAUUGAAAAAACACAUUGUUAUCUUGUAUGUAUCAGAUUUUACGACAAGGCAAGGGCAUGCAUUAUUUUUUGAGCAACAAACCAAGCUAAGUUUUGAGUUUUGAGCAAGAUCUAUCUAUCUAGCUAUGAAUUUCAAAAUCCUAGCUACAGCUUUCAACCUUCAACUUCCAAGAACAAAAUUUUGUUAUCAUUUUCACUCUUUGAGGAAACUUGUGUACAGGGUGGUUCCUUAGGAUGCAGUUAGUUUUGUGGAUUUACCUUAGAUUUCAAACUUUCAAAUUUCAAUACACCCUUUUUGGGAUUCCUCUCACAUCAUGAUCUAAUUAGUUUUUUAUUGCAACAAAUUAAUAUUGGAAAAAUUUGGAAGCUAUAGCUAGUGAGAUGAAACAAAAGAAAAGAAAGUCAAGUCACUAAAAAUGUCUCAGCCUCUCUCUCCUCAUUAAAGAAAGAACAAAAAGAAACAGGCUCUUGAUAAAUUGAAAGAAAGAGAGAGAAUCUAAUGUGAUAGUGACUUGACAUACAAGCUUAGAUAUUGACAUUUCAUCACAGGCUGUGUUUGUGUUAGGGGGGUGACGAAAUGAAGAAGAUCGAGUUGGAUUAAAUUGAGUUAAAGGGCUACAAAGUAAAGUUAUUUAUGAAGGGAGAGAGUGUAACAAAAAUAUAGAGCCAAUUAUAGGCAUGAAAAUGCAUGGCAUGAGAAUAGUGAAAUGAAAGAGUAUUUAAAAUUAACAAUUGCAAUAGCCAAACAUGAUGGCAGAGUGGGAGGCACAGCACAAAAGGGUGCAGAGGGCCACAACAGCUAGACUUGAAAAAGAAGAGUAGCCAUCAGGAGGAGGAGGAGGUGCAGAGCAGAAGAAAGACAGUGACUUUCUUUUCGACUUCUUCCUCUUCCCCUUGCUUGCUUCUGCCUUGAUGCUCUCAAUUUUGUUUUGGAUUUUGGAGUAACGUUUUUAAGGAGACCUUUGUAUACUCUUUUGAUUUUUAUAUUAGUUAUAUUAGAUUUUGGUCUACUCUCUCUAAGUUGUUUCAUCAUUUUCUUUUAUUUUAAUGGCUAAAUAUUCACCACAUGGUAUUUAUUCUUUAAAAAAAAUAGAUGCAUGUUUGGAGAUUCUCAAAUUGAAAUACCACGAUCAUUUUUCUUGAUAGAGCAAUGGGUUUUUCAUUAAAUCGAAGGAGGUGUGGCUGUGGCGUUUAUUUAAAAUCUACCAUAUAUAAUUUUCAAAAACAAUUACUCAAUCUCUCAAAUAAAAAAUUAUUCAAAACAACUUCUUCUUAUUUUAUGUAGUUUUAAAACAAAUCUCUUUUUUUUUUC
Molecule: long non-coding RNA, 2736 nt
Filed under: Medicago truncatula (barrel medic)
Lineage: Eukaryota; Viridiplantae; Streptophyta; Magnoliopsida; Fabales; Fabaceae
Description: long non-coding RNA (MTRU_LNC001179)
Source: RNAcentral